RNAcentral lists this ribosomal RNA (460 nucleotides) under uncultured bacterium. RNAcentral describes it as "partial 16S ribosomal RNA". It matches the Rfam family "Bacterial small subunit ribosomal RNA", at positions 29 to 506 of the family's 1533-position model. The record is from RNAcentral.
AGUGAACGCUGGCGGCGUGCCUAAUACAUGCAAGUCGAACGGAGAUUAAGUAGCUUGCUAUUUAAUCUUAGUGGCGCACGGGUGAGUAAUAUAUAGCUAACUUGCCCAUUACUAAGGGACAACAGUUGGAAACGACUGCUAAUACCUUAUACUCCGUAUCUAUAUAAGUAGAUACGGGAAAGUUUUUCGGUAAUGGAUAGGGCUAUAUCGUAUCAGCUAGUUGGUAAGGUAAUGGCUUCCAAGGCUAUGACGCGUAACUGGUCUGAGAGGAUGAUCAGUCACACUGGAACUGAGACACGGUCCAGACUCCUACGGGAGGCAGCAGUAGGGAAUAUUGCUCAAUGGGGGAAACCCUGAAGCAGCAACGCCGCGUGGAGGAUGACACUUUUCGGAGCGUAAACUCCUUUUCUUGGGAAAGAAUUAUGACGGUACCCAAGGAAUAAGCACCGGCUAACUCCGU